UAAACCCUAUCCUCCCCAAGCUGGUAUUGGUUGGAGUGUUUCGUCACAGCAAUUGAAGGCAGACUAGAACAGAGACAAAUGAGGUUAUACACGAGCCCCGUUCAGGACAGCUGGGACCACCUUCCCAUAGGCUCCGGUUUCUGCUCUCUCCUCUCCCGUGGCUGCUGCUGCCAAAGAAGAAGGAUUUCACCUGGGCACUCUCCUAUUAAAUUCUCUUCCACAAGCUUCUCUGACGAUUCUAGGAUAGCAUACCAACCUCAACAUGACCGUGGCAUGGACUAGGUCCCGGAUACAAGUUUGGUAAAUUGUGCAAUCAUGAUUCUCCACAUUUGGGCCCCCAAGGAAGAAAUGUAUCGUAGUGGAAUCAUGGGUGGUACAGAUGCUGUUUUGGAAGGAGAGCUCUUGCUUCACACUAGCAAAUCUAGGCACCAGCUCCUUGACCUGCUUGGAUGGUCCCUGCUCCCUUGUCAAGCCCUUGCCUCAUUCCUCACCCUCAUGCUGCAUCUCUGGCCAGGCCUGCUGCAGUGAGGCCUUCAGAGGGAAUUCAAGGUUAUCCCAAUCAUGGCUUCAGACCUGCUGUCAUUCUCACGUGAAGAAGAGGGAGCACCUGGGAAUUGGGCCUGGCUCCAUAGGCAUAUGUUUAUUUGGUCAUGGGAUCACGGAUGUCCUGGAGGUCCUGAUCACAAGCCCCUGACUGAGAGACAGACGAUUCCAGACACCAAAGUUUUUUGAGAAGCUGAUACAUGCUAGGUCCACCUCACAGAGCUGAGGAAGUGACUAACUGCUUUCUGCAUCUCCACAAACAACAUAAAACAGCACCUGCCACAUGAUGCCAAUCAAAUGGUGCUGAAGAACAUGCCCCACUGGUGGUGAUAGGAGUCCGAGUGAUGUCCCCAAAGUGGAGGAAGUGGUUGAAGAGGAGGCGUCUGGGGAUCUCUUUGGGUAUUAAAGAUAGCCUAUGGUUUGAGCAUGGUGGUG
Long non-coding RNA from Nannospalax galili (Upper Galilee mountains blind mole rat), 978 nucleotides. RefSeq lists it as uncharacterized. NCBI's taxonomy places the organism in Eukaryota, Metazoa, Chordata, Mammalia, Rodentia, Spalacidae. The transcript has 3 exons. The record is from RefSeq and is a predicted model, not a curated record.